Ciona intestinalis (vase tunicate) is the source of this 473-nucleotide non-coding RNA. Lineage: Eukaryota; Metazoa; Chordata; Ascidiacea; Phlebobranchia; Cionidae. The record is from RefSeq and is a predicted model, not a curated record.
CAGGCAACCGGGUAACUCAAGCCAACUUCCGAGAACCUCGUUUAAUAUUCAAGUCAAAAUCCACUUCUGCGACGAAACGGAACAAACACACGCGUACGUACUUAAACCAUGAUUCAUAAACCAUACACGAAUGCUGUAAUAGCAGCUACACAAAGGCAAUGUAAAAACGCCUAUAACGGUAGCAAGAAUCUUGUGCACACAUAGUGAUAUUGACCUUUGCAACAGCAGAGGAAUUUGUAUAGGGUAACAGUCAGGUAUAAAAAUAGUGGUGGUUAGAACUUUAAUCUAACUCAGAUUCACAAAAACGAUACGUCACUAUAUUUUACGAUGAGACAUUUUAUGAGCAGCAAAUAAUAAUAGAACGCAGCCAAUGCGACAGAGUUCAAAUAACAUGCUACGCAAGACCAAGGUUGAUACUCAGCUCCACUCUCUCCGGGAUCGGAAGAGCCGACUUUCGAAAGUUCUUCGUCCUC